CAAAUCAGCUGUCAUUCCAGAAAGAAGUGUUGUUGUUACUGCACAUAAUGAAGCUCUACUUUCUUCUUCUUUUCUUAUUAGCAACUCCACUGUAUGUCUACGCGAGUGUUCAGCUUGUGGAAUCCGGACCAGGAACACUGAAGCCUGGGCAAACUCUCAGACUAACUUGCACCGUCACUGGGGAUUCAGUGAACAACAACUACUGGGAUUGGAUCCGUCAGGCUCCUGGGAAAGGGCUGGAAUGGCUCGGCAGGAUAGAUUGGAGUAGUGGUACAUGGCGCAAACGCUAUGCCUCCACUCACCAAAGCCGAGCCACGCUCUCUGCCGAUGCAGCCAAAAAUGAGUAUUAUCUUGAGCUGAGGUCCCUGACAGCGGCAGACACCGCCACAUAUUACUGUGCCCGAAGAACACAGUGA
Molecule: non-coding RNA, 416 nt
Organism: Elgaria multicarinata webbii
Lineage: Eukaryota; Metazoa; Chordata; Lepidosauria; Squamata; Anguidae
Source: the annotation of a RefSeq genome assembly